GACAGGAAGGGGACUUUCCCAAGUGAACCUCUGCUGAGCUGGGAGGGGAAGGGCAGCAAAAACACAGGAUUUCCCCAGGCGCAGUGGCUCACUCCUGUAAUCCCAGCGCUUUGGGAGUCAGAGGCAGGCAGAUCACCUGAGGUCAGAAGUUCCAGACCAGCCUGGCCAACAUAGUGAAAUCCUGUCUCUAAUAAAAAAAAAUAUAUAUAUAUAUAUACAAAAAAUUAGCUGGGUGUGGUGGCAGGCACCUGUAACCAGUUACUUGGGAGUCCGAGGCAGGAGAAUUGCUUGAACCCAGGAGGCGGAGGUUGCAGUGAGCCGAGAUCGCACCACUGCACUCUAGCCUGGUCAACAGAGUGAGACUCUGUCUCAAAAAUAAAAUAAAACAAAAUCCAGGGUAUGUAACCAAGGAGAUCCUCUUAAAGUUAGAAAGAGGAAAAUAAGAAAAUUCUACAUAUUUAAUGCAAUACAUAAUCAACUUUCAAAAUCAAUUCCUUUCUUCUCCCUUCAACUGAACCCAUGCUGUGGCAGCCCAGCUGAAGAUAUGAACAGCGACGCCGAAUCCAUGCAGUGAUAGAAGUUGGGGUCCAGCUUCUGUAGGAUUACCUCCAAUGCCAGAGACCACCAGCUCCCAAAGAAGCCCAUUCUGGUGGCUCAAAGCCGCAGCCAACAGGACGCAGGCAUGGGGCUGCAGGGAGGUGCCUAAGCCUGGAAUGGGGAGCCCAGAAGACACCGAACUGAGGCAGGUGGGUGGUGAGGAGCGUGGAACGGGAUACAUGAGGUGGGCGGGAAGCCCCAGGCCAAAAAGAGUGAGACAUGUGGGAGAUCGUCCAGCUUCCAAAGGGACACCAGUGGAGUCCCGAGGUUACGUGUGGCUCUCAGUCACUUGUCUGACAAGUGAUGCUCUUGGCUCUUAGGGACUGGACCGGAACUCACAGACGGAGCUGCUGCAGCCAGGCCUACAUGGCCACCUUUCUGUGCACCCACAAUUGUCCAGAGAAGAGCCAUUGUCACCAAUCCCAGCCAAAGCCCAGCCAUGAGGCAUCAUCCUUUACUAGCUGGUGGGCCGCACUUAGCUUCUCUGAGCCCCAGCUUCCUCCUGGGUGCAAUGAGGCUCAAGAGAACCUCGCUCACAAGCUACUGGCAGGAUCAAAGGGAAGCAUACAUGUGAAACGCUUGCCUCCCUGCUCUUCUGGCCAUCGCUCUUGCCCAAACUGCUACCUUCCUUCACUCCAGAGAGAAGGGAGUGACCACUCGCUGGUGUCCACUGCUGGCUUCAGUCCACACGGAUUCACGCCCCAGCCCAGGGCCCGGCAUUGCAGCGCUCCAUGAGCAGUUCCCAGGCAGAUAAGUGAAUGAGCAGUUGGACGGCCUUUCAAAUGUACCCGGAAUGUGGCGUCCUUCCCUACAGUUAGGAAACGCACACACACGUCUGCACACAUACACACGCGGUCCUUGCCCUGCUGCUCAAGUGUCCACUCUCAGCCUAAACAUCACACCCAUGGAUGGCCUCACUGGCCAUGAAGCCACAUGGGCCCCACCGCACCGCCCUGGACUUCCUCAGCACAGCCCUCAUCACAAUGGAGUCAGAUGCCUGUAUAGUUCUGUAUUUGGUAGUCAUCUGUCUCCAUGACACUGUAAACUCCUGGAGGGCCGGAAUAACCACAGAAUCCCCAGCAAGGACCCAACCACGCAUCUAGUGAUGAUGCAAGAAUGAGUCAGCAGGAAUUUGAGGAGGUGGCUGCAGUCGGUCCUCUGAGCUCGGAGGGCUCCCUCUGGAAUUGUGAGGGUCUGGGUUUCAAAGAAGUGGAGAGCUCAAAGCUACCAUCAAGUGGGAAACAGGGACUUGGAAGCAAAAGGGACCGAAGCCUGCUGGGGGUGGCAGAAGGGGCUUGAGGCCACCCGACACAGGGAGCUUGGCCCCUGCUCUGUCGCCCACGGCCAGGGAGGGAGUCUUUGUCAAGACAUCAGCUCAGAACAUAGACGGCAAAGUACGUGAGGCAGAGAGCCUCCGUGAGGAAGCACUGCCUCCUCUUCCAGCGGCUGAACAGGCUCCGUGCAAACUGAGCCCCACGGAGGGAGGGGUCCUCUCAGCUCCAGAGCCCCAGGAAACAGUGGGGCAGGCUGAAACCCAGCAGUGAGGCCCCAGGGCUGCCGGGGAGGUUCCAAGGGCCAGGCCAAUCUCCAGGGCCUGAAGUCAUGAGGUCCUGUGAGGCACCCAGAGACAACUUGUAGAGAUAAGCAGGGCCACCUGACCGGGGUGGGGUGGGGGACACCACGUUCACCCUCCUCCCCAGCAGACUCUGAAAUGGUGGCAGUAAGAAAGCGUGGGCAUCCAGCAUUUCAGGAUGGGGAGGGGCAGGCAUGCUCAUGACAGGUGAGGAGAGGCUGGAGCUCCCUCAGAACUAUUGACCAGGCCUCCCCAGCAGCGGCCCUGCAGCCAGCCCAGGGCAGCCAGCCCAAGCUCCAACCUGGCCAGGGUUGGGCAAGAUGACCCCUCCACAAGAAUUGAGAAACUCCCUGGAUAAGCUUCUACCAGAGAGUCAGGGAAGAACCAUGGAAAACAGACCUGGGCCUGUUGAUACUGGGGGAAGGCCAGUGUCCUCCAAAACUAGUGACUUUUGGGAUCUCUUACAGCUCCCUUUCUUGUGAAACCUUGCCUGUUUCCCUGCUGUUGCCAAGAGUAAAACCCACGUGUCUGUUUCCCGUCAGUGCUGCUGAACACAAUGCUGAAGCACACAAGCUCAGGGGCUUAGAGCUACACAUGCUUAUCACCUGCUACAGACUGCGCGUGUGUGCCACCCAAAUUCAGUGUUGAAAUCUUAACCCCCAAGGUGUGGUAUGAGGAGGUGGAGCCUUUGGGAGAUGAUUAGGUCAUGGGGAUGGGGCUGUCGUGAGUGGGAUUAAAGCCCUUAUGAAAGGGACUCUAGAAAGAGAACUUUCACCCCUUCCACCAGGUGAGGACACAGGGAGAAGAUGCCAGCUGUAAACCAGGAAGCGGCGCUCCCAGGCACUACAUCUGCCUUGAUCUUGGGCUUCCCAGCCUCCAGAACUGUGAGAAAGAAACAUCUGUGGUUUAUAAACUGCCCGGUCUAUGGUGUUUUGUUUCAGCAGCCCAGGCAGAGUAACACGUUACCCUACAGUUUCCAAUGACACAAGUCUGAGAUCAAGGUGUCAGCAGCUCCAUGUUCCUUUUGUUUCAGGAGAGAAUCCAUUUCCUGCCUUUUCAGCUCCUAGAUGCUGCCUGCACCCCCUGGCUGGUGGCCCCUCCUCCAUUUCCUGCCUUUUCAGCUCCUAGAUGCUGCCUGCACUCCCUGGCUGGUGGCCCCUCCUCCAUUUCCUGCCUUUUCAGCUCCUAGAUGCUGCCUGCACCCCCUGGCUGGUGGCCCCUCCUCCAUUUCCUGCCUUUUCAGCUCCUAGAUGCUGCCUGAACCCCCUGGCUCGUGGCUCCUCCUCCAUUUCCUGCGUUUUCAGCUCCUAGAUGCUGCCUGCAUCCCUUGGCUCCUGGCCCCUCCUCUGUCUUCAAGGCCAGAGGGCAGCCUCUUUAAACCUCCCUCCAGUCCUGUUCUCCGCUUCUUGCAUUGACCCUCCUGCCCUCCCUCUUUCCCUGCAUGGACCCUUACGAUGACACAUGGGGCCCGCCUGGAUAUCCAGGAAAAUCUCUCCAGCUCAAGACUCUUCAUUUAGUCACAUCUCCCGAGUGCCUUUGCCUUGUAGGGUCACAUAUCUGGGGGUGAUGCACACAUCUGGAAGGGCCAUUAUUCAGUCUACCACAGAAUGAAAAGUGGUUCCGUACUUGUUCUCAAAGUGACAGAGUGCAGAAGGCAGUGAGGGGCUUGAAUGCAGCUCCAGGAUUGUGGGGCUGAGGGCACAGGGGCCGGGGACCCAAGGAAGGGAGAGCCAUAGGCCAGUGGGAAGGAAAAGAACAGCAAGCCGGGAGCUGGGCAGAAUUGAGAAUGGCCCCAUCAUUCAGCCGGCAGGCAGCCGGGGUUCACCAGCUUGGGUAUAGGCAGGAUUGGGAAAACGUGCUCUGGAAGGCCGUCUCUACCUGCAGGGUCAUCGUCAUCGCCAUCCUUCUAAUGCCAUGGCGAAGGGAAUGACUCUGACAAGAACUCUAGAAUCCUAAGUGCAUCUGACAGGCCUUCAGGCUUGUUUCCAUUCUCUGAGACCCAGAGAGUACAUGGCUCCAAAUGGAAUGACCAAGAUUCAUGCAAAGAAUGAAAGUGAUGGACGGAGUUUAACAGCAGCUCAGGAAGGCACGCUCCCGGCCACCCUCGAUGCGGACGGCUGGAGUCUGUUUAUGUUCCUGCCAUGCGCUUGCUCAGUUGUGUAAUGGUCACUGCCGGCGCAGCUCAGACCUUUGAUCAGCUCCCGGGGACUCAGGCCUCUUUCUUCUCCUUUCUGCUGGGAAGAGCCGUUGCAACAGGGCAUUUGCGACUGACUCUUCUGGAGAUCAAGUGACAACUGGUGGGAGGGGCCGUGGCAGCACGUCUUCUGGGCGCCCUGCUUCACGUACCAUCUGAGGACACGCACAGCCUUGAGAGUGGGGGAAGCUGGGCCCAGGUCCUGCCCCUGAGUGUGCUGUGCUGCGCAUCAGUUCAAAUCCUGGGGUAGGGUGUCCGGCAGCCCUGCUGGGAUGAGAGCAGCCGCCUGGAGCCUCCGCAGCCCCAUGACUAUGUGAUACGGUUUGGCUCUGUGUCCCCACCCAAAUCUCAUCUUGUAGCCCCCAUAAUUCACACAUGUUGUGGGAGCAACCCAGUGGGAGAUGAUUGAAUCACGGGGUGGGUCUUUCUUGUGCUGUUCUCCUGACAGUGAAUGAGUCUCACGAGAUCCGAUUGUUUUAUUUUAUUUUAUUUAUUUUGAGACAGAGUCUCACUCUGUCGCCCAGGCUGGAGUGAAGUGGUGCGAUCUCAGCUCCCUGUAACUUCCGCCUCCCGGGUUCAAGCAAUUCUUGUGCCUCAGCCUCUCCAGUAAUUGGGACUACAGGUGUGUGUCACCAUGCCCAGAUAAUUUUUUGUAUCUUUAGUAGAGGUGGGGUUUUGCCAUGUUGUCCAAGCUGUUCUUGAACUCCUGAGCUCAGGCAUUCCACCCACCUCAGCCUCCCAAAGUGCUAGAAUUACAGGCAUGAGCCACCACACCCAGCCUGCAGAUUUUAAAAACGGGAGUUUCUCUGCAGAAGCUCUCUUUGCCUGCCACCAGUCAUGUAAGAUGCGACUUGCUCCUCCUUGCCUUCCUCCAUGAUUGUGAGGACUCCUCAACCAUGUGGAACUGUCAAUCUAAUGAAAUCUCUUUCUUUUGUAAAUUGCUCGGUCUCGGGUAUUCUUUAUCAGUAAUGUGAAAAUGGACUAACACACUGUGUUUCACUUAAACCAAGAUGGUAGGGGCUGCCAGCCUACCGCAGGAUCUGGCAAUUCCUGAAUGCUAGUGUCUAUAUAUCCAAGAAUCAGUUUC
Molecule: long non-coding RNA, 5451 nt
Filed under: Callithrix jacchus (white-tufted-ear marmoset)
Lineage: Eukaryota; Metazoa; Chordata; Mammalia; Primates; Cebidae
Description: lncRNA (ENSCJAG00000079750.1)
Source: RNAcentral